GCCGUGGUGGUGAAAUUGGUAGACACGCCAGCUUGAGGGGCUGGUGUCCGAAAGGACGUGCGGGUUCAAGUCCCGCCCACGGCACCA
Molecule: transfer RNA, 87 nt
Filed under: Moritella sp.
Lineage: Bacteria; Pseudomonadati; Pseudomonadota; Gammaproteobacteria; Alteromonadales; Moritellaceae
Also listed under: 5 other names
Description: tRNA-Leu
Rfam family: tRNA
About the family: Transfer RNA (tRNA) molecules are approximately 80 nucleotides in length. Their secondary structure includes four short double-helical elements and three loops (D, anti-codon, and T loops).
Source: RNAcentral